Molecule: ribosomal RNA, 427 nt
Filed under: uncultured bacterium
Lineage: Bacteria
Description: bacterial SSU rRNA
Rfam family: Bacterial small subunit ribosomal RNA
Source: RNAcentral
UGGGGAAUUUUGGACAAUGGGCGCAAGCCUGAUCCAGCCAUGCCGCGUGCAGGAUGAAGGCCUUCGGGUUGUAAACUGCCUUUGUACGGAACGAAGAGACUCUGGUUAAUACCUGGGGUCCAUGACGGUACCGUAAGAAUAAGCACCGGCUAACUACGUGCCAGCAGCCGCGGUAAUACGUAGGGUGCGAGCGUUAAUCGGAAUUACUGGGCGUAAAGCGUGCGCAGGCGGUUAUGUAAGACAGAUGUGAAAUCCCCGGGCACAGCCUGGGAACUGCGUUUGUGACUGCAUAGCUAGAGUACGGGUGGGCGGGAUGGAAUUCCGAGUGUAGCAGUGAAAUGCGUAGAUAUGCGGAGGAACACCGAUGGCGAAGGCAAUCCCCUGUGCCUGUACUGACGCUCAUGCACGAAAGCGUGGGGAGCAAACA